UUUUGAUACUACUGCUUGAAGAAAAUGUAAAAUCAAAAAAGAAUAUGAAAUACGUUACAGGUUCUGUAUAAAUACUCGUAUUUCAAAUCUUUCACGUUAGUAAAACAAAAAGUUCAUUGAUGGGAACGAAGAAUUGAUUAUUCUAUGUUAUUUUCAGUACACAAAAUUCGAAAAAUGCAUAAUAAACAAGGAAGCGUGACCCUAACACAGGCAUUAAAAGCAGAAUACUCGAAUGGAAGCUGGCAGAAGAAGUACCGAAAAGAACACAAAAUUACGAAUUAUCUUUUUAAAAAAAUGCUGUAAAGCAUGUUUGCGAACUGUUUAAUCAUGUUUUAUUUUGAGUGAAUUUCAUUUAGACCAUUAUAACUUUAUUACUACUUACUUAUUUUCCUCCUCAUAUUUAUUAAAUGGCGGUCACUAAUUUUGUGACUUUUGCUCUUGUCCUUAAUGCUUACGUUCGAAUAUGUAAUGGACUUGAAUCAUUAAUCAUUUAACAACAAACUUUACAAUUAUUUUCUUUUCAAAAUUUCUAAAGAGAGUUUUUAUCAGCCUUGCUGUACGAUUAACCGA
Stegodyphus dumicola is the source of this 570-nucleotide long non-coding RNA. RefSeq lists it as uncharacterized. NCBI's taxonomy places the organism in Eukaryota, Metazoa, Arthropoda, Arachnida, Araneae, Eresidae. The record is from RefSeq and is a predicted model, not a curated record.